This 480-nucleotide ribosomal RNA is filed under the name uncultured bacterium. RNAcentral describes it as "partial 16S ribosomal RNA". It matches the Rfam family "Bacterial small subunit ribosomal RNA", at positions 28 to 507 of the family's 1533-position model. The record is from RNAcentral.
GACGAACGCUGGCGGCGUGCUUAACACAUGCAAGUCGAACGAUGAAGAAAAGAAUCGAAGCUUCGGCAGAAAUUCAUUUCGGAUUAGUGGCAGACGGGUGAGUAACGCGUGAGCAACCUACCUCUUACAAAGGGAUAGCCUCGGGAAACCGGGAUUAAUACCAUAUAACAUUGCGACGAAGCAUUUCGAUGCAAUCAAAGCUACGGCGGUAAGAGAUGGGCUCGCGUCCCAUUAACCGGAUGGUGAGGUAACGGCUCACCAUAGUGACGAUGGGUAACCGGCCUGAGAGGGUGAACGGUCACACUGGAACUGAGACACGGUCCAGACUCCUACGGGAGGCAGCAGUGGGGAAUAUUGCACAAUGGAGGGAACUCUGAUGCAGCGACGCCGCGUGAGUGAUGAAGGAAUUCGUUUCGUAAAACUCUGUUCUAUGGGAAGAAAAGGACUGUACCAUAGGAGAAAGCGCCGGCUAAAUACGUG